UGCGCAGGCGGGAAAGUAGGUUGGAUGUGAAAACCUCGGGCUUAACCCGGGGCCUGCAUUCAAAACCACUUUUCUUGAGUAUCGGAGAGGAAAGCGGAACUCCAGGUGUAGCGGUGAAAUGCGUAGAUAUCUGGAGGAACACCGGUGGCGAAGGCGGCUUUCUGGACGAAUACUGACGCUCAUGCACGAAGGCUAGGGGAGCAAACA
This 207-nucleotide ribosomal RNA is filed under the name uncultured bacterium. Its description in RNAcentral is "partial 16S ribosomal RNA". It matches the Rfam family "Bacterial small subunit ribosomal RNA", at positions 568 to 774 of the family's 1533-position model. The record is from RNAcentral.